RNAcentral lists this small RNA (578 nucleotides) under Malus domestica (apple). RNAcentral's name for it is "sRNA MD14G0101000". Lineage: Eukaryota; Viridiplantae; Streptophyta; Magnoliopsida; Rosales; Rosaceae. The record is from RNAcentral.
CACCCCUUAUCUUUAUCAAUAUUUACACCAUCCAUAAAAACAAACCCUAAAAUUCUAUCUUCUUCGUUCCAUCUUCUCUGCCUGCCGCUGCCUUUUCCCGUAGCCUUCCUCCUCAUCGUCUCCCGUAGCAGCUACAUAUCCAGGUUCGAUCUUGAUCUUCUCCCGUAGCCGCUGCAUAUCCAGGUUCGAUCUCGAUCUUCUCCCGUAGCCGUUGCAUCUCCAGAAGCAAUUGAUUGAGUUGGAAGUGAUGCUGGUGGAGCUGCAAAUCGUCGAGUCUUCAGAGCGAGCAAGUCUGCAGAUCCAUUUUGUUUUGAUUCUUAUAUAGUGUGAUAAUGGAUUUGAAGCAAAGUUGUGUGUUGUAGAUGAACACAUUGUGAUGUGCUAGUUGGGGAGUUGGAGAAUCGAACCGUAGAUGGAGCGCAAGUGGUUGUGGAAGAAGUCUUCUGAGAAGAGCUCUGGAGAAACUUGUAUAAAUAACAAACACCUCUCUGUAAUUCAUUCAUUGUUCAAGGAAUACAAUCUUUAGUCAUUCACCUUCUCUCUCUAAAUUCUCUGCCAUUGUUUUUCGUUUUGCUUCU